UACAAUAAUAAUAAAAGCAUUAAGUGGAUGCCUUGGCAUUAAUUUUAUUUUUAGGACGUAAAAAAUGCGAAAAGCUAUAUUAAAUAAUAAUAUAUUUUGAAAUAUAGAUUUCCUAGAGAAAACUUUUUCUUUGUGAAAAUUUUAAAAGCAGUGAAUUGAAAUAUCUAAGUAACUGUUAAAAAAAUCAAACGAGAUUCCGUGAGUAAUGACGAGUGAAAAUGGAAAAUAGGUUUAUAAAAAUAAAUAAAAUUUAUUCGAAUAAUUUUAAAAAAUUAACGUAAAAAGGUUAAAGUCCUGUAGAAUAAUUUAUAUUUUUAUAAUAGUAAAAAGAGGUAUGUGUAUCUUUUUUGAAUAUUGGGGACCCCCUCAAAACCUAGUAAAAAUUAAUGAUCGAUAGUGUACAAGUACUGUAAAGGAAAAGGUGAAAAAAGAACUUUUGAGUUUGAAAUAAUUCUGAAAACUUAAUGUUAACAAUCAAUUGGAACUUUUUAUUAAAGUGACAGUGUACCUUUUGCAUAAUGGGCCAGCAAGUUUAUUUUUAUAGCAAGCUUAAUUUUUUAAAGUAGGCGCAGAUAAAUCAAGUUUUAAAAAGCAAUAUAGUUAUAAAAAUAAGACCCGAAACCGAGUGAUCUAACCAUGAACAGAUUGAAAAAUAGGUAAAACUAUUUGGAGGAUCGAACUCACAUGUGUGGCAAAACAUGGAGAUGAUUUGUGGUUAGGAGUGAAAGGCUAAUCAAACUCGGAGAUAGCUGGUUUUCCGCGAAAUCUAUUGAAGUAGAGCAUUUAAAAUCUUUUUUUGGGGUAGAGCACUCAUUGAGCUAGGGGGCGUAAAAACUUACUGAACUCUUAGAAACUCCAAAUACAAAAAAAAGUUAUUUAAAUAGACAGACAUUAGGCGCUAAGGUCUAUUGUCAAGAGGGAAACAGCCCAGAUUGAUCGCUAAGGUCUCUAAAUAAUAUUCUAAGUGAAAAAGGAAGUGAAAAAAUAAUUACAACCAGUAGGUAGGCUUGGAAGCAGCCAUCCUUUAAAGAAAGCGUAAUAGCUCAUUGGUCUAGUUUUUUUGCGCCUAAAAUGUAUCGAGACUUAAGAAAUUUACCGAAGCGGCAAGUUUUAUUUAUAAUAAAACGGUAGCGGAACAUUCUGUAUGUUGAUAAAGAUAUGUUGUAAAAUAUAUUGAAGAUAUCAGAAAAGAAAAUGCUGGCAUUAGUAACAAAAAAUAAUGAAUAAGAAUCAUUAUCACCGUAAAUCCAAGGGUUUCUAUGUUAAAAUGUAUUUCAUAGAGUGAAACGGCCCCUAAGAAAGAUUUGACGAAAGCAAAUUUUGAUGGGAUAAUUUUUAAAUUAAAUUUUUUAAAAAAAGUGACAAAAAGUUUUACUUUUUCAGGAAAUAGCUUUUUUUAAAAAAAACCGUACCCUAAACCGACACAGGUGGAUAGGUCGAGUAGACUAAGGUGGAUGAGAGAAUUAUAUUGAAGGAACUCGGCAAAAUGACUCUGUAACUUCGGGAUAAAGAGUACCUAAAUAUUAUAUUUAGGUGUCACAAAAUAGGGGGUUGCGACUGUUUAAUAAAAACUUAGGACUCUGCUAAAUGGUAACAUGAUGUAUAGGGUCUGACACCUGCCCGGUGCUGGAAGAUUAAUAGGAGAUGUUUGCGCAUUGAAUGGAAGUCCCAGUAAACGGCGGCCGUAACUCUGACGGUCCUAAGGUAGCGAAAUUCCUUGUCGGGUAAGUUCCGACCUGCAUGAAUGGUGUAACGACAUCCCCGCUGUCUCCAAUAUAAACUCAGUGAAUUUGAAUUAUCCGUGAAGAUGCGGAUUCUCUAUAGUUAGACGGAAAGACCCCGUGAACCUUUACUACAUCUUUAUAUUGUUAUUUUAUCUAAUAUGUGUAGCAUAAGUGGGAAUCAAUAAGACCUUCACGCUAGUGAAUUGUUUAGAUAACAUUGAAAUACCACUCUUAUUAAAAUAAAUAACUAAUAUUUUUAUAAAUAGACAGUGUAUGGUUGGUAGUUUGACUGGGGCGGUCACCUCCUAAAGAGUAACGGAGGU
This 2047-nucleotide non-coding RNA is filed under the name Globisporangium ultimum DAOM BR144. RNAcentral's name for it is "Pythium ultimum DAOM BR144 Bacterial large subunit ribosomal RNA". It matches the Rfam family "Bacterial large subunit ribosomal RNA", at positions 1 to 2307 of the family's 2925-position model. The record is from Rfam by way of RNAcentral. Lineage: Eukaryota; Oomycota; Peronosporomycetes; Pythiales; Pythiaceae.